Panicum virgatum (switchgrass) is the source of this 2260-nucleotide long non-coding RNA. RefSeq lists it as uncharacterized. The transcript is spliced from 5 exons. Lineage: Eukaryota; Viridiplantae; Streptophyta; Magnoliopsida; Poales; Poaceae. The record is from RefSeq and is a predicted model, not a curated record.
CCGCGCAGCCCGCGACGCCGCGGUGCGCGCGUCCCUCCCACCCCGCACGCCUCCCGACGGUUCCCAUCUCGCUCACCCCGCUGUCCUCCCCGCCGGGCGCCGCCCUCCCCGCCGCUCCGUCUCCUGCGUUGCUCACCAGCAAGGCUGGCAGCGGCGCCACCACGCGCUCAACCCCGCGUCAUCGCCCCCGCGCGCACUGACUCGACAACUGCGGGGGAGGAGCUCCCGUCCUGAUCCUCACCCCUCUCCUCCAUCGCCGGGGCUAGAGCUGUGGGCGGAUCGAUCCGGCGGAGUCCGAGCUCUCCUCCGGGCAGAUCGAUUCUCCCUCCCUCCUCCUAUGGAACCUGUUCUGCGGGUGGAUCGAUCUCGACUCAAGCACCUUGGCCGACUCGCCGUCCCACGGCUCCGCAGCCGUUGCGACUACCCUCCGUACCGUAUCCCCGCCGCCGCGUCCUCUCCUACUCCGCCGUCGCUCCACCCCGCACACCCCUGCCUCCUCUGCCCAACCGCACCAUAGGGGUUGCACAUACUCCCGCACAUGAACCUUAGGAAGCUGUGUUGCCUCUUCCUUGAGGACAAGCCUGCGCAUCGACGAGUGCGCCCGACCUCUGCUUCCUGAACCUUGAUUUGGACCCAAGCAAGACAAUCAUGUACCAUUGCAAUGUCGAGAACAGGAUGAUUCCAUAGCAACGAUUUUUAAGGCAAUCCACCUCAGGUCCACGAGACACUGGAAAUCAGAUUUGUGGUGUGUCCCUUUCAAGCCACAGUAUACAAUUAUUGUCUUGGUUAAUUUAAUGGAAAUCAGAUUUGUGGUGUCCCUUUCAAGCUACAGUAUACCAUUAUUAGAUUGGUUUAUUUAAUUACUUGUUGUGGCAUUUGUAGCUCAGAUGAUCGACUCCAACCUACAUUAAUGUGCUAACCAGUAUGCAUGCAAACAACUCUGCUUAUCUCUGUUUUCGCUCUGCAGCUAAAUGCUUAAUUUUGUGAAUGAACAGUUAGCCAUUCUUGCAUGUUAAGUGAUAUGGAUGCAGGAGAUUUUAUUCUAAUCUCUACUUGUUUACCUCGGUUAGAUUUGGAUGAAUCCCAUGGCCAAGUAUUAAGUUAAUCUUUGGAGUAUUAGCUUAUCUCUUUUGCUUGGGUUUGGACCUUGGUACAGGUGAAGGUGCUCUACGCUUGCACUACCUGUCAGGGUCUCCUUUUCAGUACUGCUAAUUGAUUUUGCUUGUUCACUAAAAUUGUGAUGCUAUGUUAUUGAUUCCAGAUGAGGCAUAAUAGUCCACUAACUUAGUGCAAGCUUGUGGCCGGCUAUUCGCUUGUGUUCUACUUUCACAUUGUUUUGAAUCGUUUCUAGAGCAAGCUCGAGCUGCCUUUGUGUUCUCUCCACUCCAAAUUGGUCACCCAAUACUUUACACAUACAUGGUCAGGUCAUCACUCGUCAGGGUGGGUUCUUGUAAAAUUCUAGGGCAAGGGUUACCAUUUCUGUGGUCUAAUUGUUGUGUGUGUUUUUCUAUUAUUUCCCUUCCUUUAGUAGCUGAUUGAAGUGGCACAGUAAGUGAUGGAUGAGUUGGACUCUAGAACUGCUCAAUUUCAAUUGAUGAUGUCCUCGUUUUAGAUAUUCUCAUGUACUAACAGUUUGUCCAUUCCUUGUGACACUUGCUUUUUACUGCAGCUGCAGCUGGGAACUCAGAGAACUAAUUCUUGAAACUUCAGGGCCAAGGAUGUCUCUGCCCAUGCUCAAGGCUAGGAAAGCUAAAAAGAUAAUGGUACCUACCAGAUGUCAAGGCUCAUGAUCUAUGUGAUUGUUGCAAUCACUUUUCAUUGCUGAAUCUGAAUGGCAGCUGACCAAGUAUUCUGUGCAUUUUAAUGAACUAUAUGAUGGAUUUUCUGAACCCAACUCGUCAAAUAUCUGGUAAAGGACAAUGGUCUAAUUCCCGUUCAAAAAAAAAAGACAAUGGUCUAAUCUAAGGAGCCUCAGAAGAGUAGUUCUAUACACAGGGAAGUGUCUGUCAAGCAUACUUGCAAUUUAAAUGUUGAACACAAAAAGGUUUGACGAGCUGCAGUUUGCCAACAUAAUGGUCAGGCGUUUAGUCCUUUUUCGUUCAAUCUGUACUUCUGGAAGAUAUGAGUAUGCUAUUAUAUUUGCUUGUACAUAGCGAGAUAAUUAAACCAUGUGCACGAAACUAAGGAUUCAGAUAUGGCUGUAUUUUUUUAAAAGAAAAUGCAAUGCAAGUUCCAUCUAUAGAUGCAGCGAUACAAUUCA